Molecule: ribosomal RNA, 304 nt
Filed under: uncultured bacterium
Lineage: Bacteria
Description: partial 16S ribosomal RNA
Rfam family: Bacterial small subunit ribosomal RNA
Source: RNAcentral
CAGCAGUAGCCGCGGUAAUACAGAGGGUGCAAGCGUUAAUCGGAAUUACUGGGCGUAAAGCGCGCGUAGGUGGUUUGUUAAGUUGGAUGUGAAAUCCCCGGGCUCAACCUGGGAACUGCAUCCAAAACUGGAAAGCUAGAGUAUGGUAGAGGGUGGUGGAAUUUCCUGUGUAGCGGUGAAAUGCGUAGAUAUAGGAAGGAACACCAGUGGCGAAGGCGACCACCUGGACUGAUACUGACACUGAGGUGCGAAAGCGUGGAGCAAACAGGAUUAGAUACCCGCGUAGUCCCUGUCUCUUAUACAC